This 87-nucleotide unclassified non-coding RNA is filed under the name Pseudomonas palleroniana. Lineage: Bacteria; Pseudomonadati; Pseudomonadota; Gammaproteobacteria; Pseudomonadales; Pseudomonadaceae. The record is from RNAcentral.
GUGGGAGGGGGCUUGCUCCCGAUAGCGGUGUGACAGUCAGCUUAUCUCUAGCUGACCCAGCGCAAUCGGGAGCAAGCCCCCUCCCAC